This 93-nucleotide microRNA precursor is filed under the name Caenorhabditis brenneri. RNAcentral's name for it is "pre miRNA CBN34009". The stretch from base 17 to 77 matches the Rfam family "mir-35_2 microRNA precursor family". The record is from RNAcentral. Lineage: Eukaryota; Metazoa; Nematoda; Chromadorea; Rhabditida; Rhabditidae.
CCUGAGACGGGAACCGAGCUGGUUUCUCCUCUGGUGAUAAAUCCAGCAGUGCUUAUCACCGGGAGUAAAUCUGCUCGGGUCCCGUCUCGGGAU